This 9076-nucleotide long non-coding RNA is filed under the name Monomorium pharaonis (pharaoh ant). RNAcentral describes it as "uncharacterized LOC118647977". The stretch from base 7564 to 7647 matches the Rfam family "let-7 microRNA precursor family". Lineage: Eukaryota; Metazoa; Arthropoda; Insecta; Hymenoptera; Formicidae. The record is from RNAcentral.
AGAGAGAGGGAGGGAGGGAGAGAGGGACUUUCCAUAGGAGGGGAGGAGGCCGUUGGAAGGGUUGGAGGGGAGGGUGCGAGUGCAGUGGCCUAGCCGUCUAUAUUCCGCGUGACUAUAGGCGGUCCGGUGGCUAGAGGCUAGAGUCCGCGUAUAAUGUAUUCUCGAAUAUCGUACACACUCUCUUUCUCUCUCUCUCGUGAUCGAUAUAAGCCCCGACGCGAGCCGGAGAUGCACGAAGACCUACCACCUCCUCAUCCUCCUCCUCCUCUUCCUCCUCUUCUUCCUCCUUCCUUCUCCGGAGCAGCCGCCUGUGCUCCUCUCUGCCGGCUGCUUUUUUCACGCGGAGUGCAACGCACGCCGGAUCGCAACGCGCGAGAAAACCACAUAUCUCUCUUUCUCUCUCUCUCUCUCUCUCAUAUUCUCCCUCGAUUAUCCAUGACAAUGAAAGCCGGGAGGGAGAGUGAAUCCGCUGUGGAACGCAGGGAGCUGAGAGGAAUGAAUGCAUAAUCUGUCGUGGAUCGUCUAAACGGUAUUAAGGAUUGCGCCACUUUCUUCGCUCGAUCGACGGUGGCGUGCAUAACGAUCCUCGCUCGACUCCUACGGGAAAGAUCGCGGGGACACGCUUCAGCCGGGCUUUAAAGCUCCUCGUCGCACUACCUCGUGUAAUUUCGAAAUUUCAUUUAUCACGGUGAACGCGCUAAAUCUUAUUUCGCUCUCUCAACUUUUAAAUUACAUUACACGUAAACGGAGGAUAAAGGAUGCAACUGUAAUUUCAUCUCUGCAAAGUUGGACCCCUCCUCUCCCCCUCGCUGCGCAAAGAGAUGCUUCAAGGUGCAUGAUAUUUGCCUAUACGUAUAAGAAAUUAAGCGAUGAGAUACACACACAACAUACACUAUCUCUUUCUUGCAACAAAUACAAAGUGCCACCAUACCGAGUCCAAUAUUUACAAGCUGAUUAUUUCUGUCGAAACGCGCACCACGUCCGAUUAAUCUGAUAUCGACACGAGCGCGAUUAAAAAUGAAGCGCGAAACGUGAGCGAUUUAAUUUAUCACCCUAAUGUGAAAUAUGUAGAUCUCUUUCAUUCGUUCGGUUCAUGCAUCGGGAUAAAGGUUUUUUUGUUAUCCAAGUAAAUGCACUUUUACUAUCAUUUCCUGUAUUAUAAACGUUAUCAAGUAGAAAACAAUUUUCUUUACAAAUUUAUGAAAUAUUUCUUUAAAUAUAAAAUGACACUAAAAAAUGAAUAUACAUAAUCAAUUCGUUACCAAUUCGAGAUCCAACUCGUCGCCAGGACAUUUUAUUUUCCCAGUCGCUGAGAAACAGUGGUGAUAUCCCGCGGGUGCAAUUGCGACGACGACGUUUAAUCGUCGCAACAAUGAAGUAGCAGGAGGGGGCAGCGAGAAACCAAGGGGUUUAUUAGUCGAUUAUUAAUCGAGUUUAACUCGAGAAUUGUACAAUUUCGGAGCAAACGGUGAUUGACUCACCUCUCUUACGCGCACGACCUCGAGCGUUUCCCUUUUUCUUUCAAAGACCGGAGGACGGGUGGGAAGGAGAAAGAGGAAGUGAAGUGCGCGAGGAAGACGCGCGCAGAGGAGAGGAGAAAACCGAUGGUGGGUGGGGAGAGAGGAGGUUGCCGAUGCACGUUCCAGAAAACUAGCCGCCAUGUCGACUCCCGCGUCUCCCCUGUCUUUCUUCCUCUCGUCUUUUCUCUUUCUUUCUCUCACUCCCACCCCCCGCCCCUUUCUUCCGUCAAUGCCAUCGCCUGUAUGCACCGCGCCACCACGAGAUAUCGUCCGUUGCACUUUUCAAGCUCGCGUACAAGUGCGUAGAAGGAGGAAGACGAGGAGAGAAUUGGCGAGAGGUGCAACGAAAAGUGGAGAGAGAGAGAGAGAGAGACGGAGAAAGAGCUGUCCUGCGCGCGGGAGAAAAUAAAAAUCGUUAAGCGACGCUCCCGUUUGAUGUUGCGAACAACGAGGUGCAGCUCAUCAUCCACUCGCUCUCGGCUCUGCGAACUGCGACCUUCGCGCGGAUUCGAUCCGAUCGGCUGGACCCGGUCGAGCGAGAACGCGAAUUACGGAGGCUAAUCGCAUGCGAGUUGAGGAACGCGAAUUGUAGGCUCUCCCGCGUGUCCACGCGGGAAUGUGAAGCGAGGUUGCGACCCCCCCCCCUCCCCUUUUCUUUCGUCACCCUCGAAGUCGCAUCAAUGACGACGACGGGGAUUUUCGAUCACCGCAUAAUAACGUCGGCCGAUUUUCGAAGAGCGACCUUAGGCGGGAUAACGGGCUCUCCUCUCUCCCACUCGUUGCAACGGAGCUGGCAACGCCAUUGGCAAACGGCAACGCUGGCCGUUCGAUCGUAGGAGGGAUAAAACGGGGAAGGUACACCACGCGCGCGGCGGAGUGGGGAACCCCCGUCUCGUUCGUUCCGUUCGGUACCUCGCUAUCUCGCUCGCCCCGUUUUCGCUGCCCCUCGCUUCCUACGCCGCUGGCACUGAAUUUCGCACCGUCGAAAAAGGGCUACGCGGAGAGGAGGUAGGGUUCGAAGGAAGCGAAAGCCGCGCGGGCAGAGGGGGAGGAGAAACGAAGGGGGGAGGAGGGCGACGAGGGGCGGAAGGCAGACCAUGUGCGCGAAACUAUUCCGAAUGCGUUCUCUCUUCGGCUCUCCUUCGCGUGGAAUUCGUUGCGAUCGUCCUCCCUUUCUCUACCCUCCCUGGGUCUAUAUCCUUCUCUCUCUAUCUCUCUCUCUUUCUCUGUUUCUCUUUCGGUCUCCUUCGAAUCCGCGGAAAAGCAAAUUCUCUUCCGUGUCACUGAACCCGUUGGCCAUCUGACCCCAUCGUUUUUCCGCACAAGGUGCCUGCCUCGACCUCAUCCCUCGUCGACGAAUGUAGUGUGGCUUUUCUCUAUCUCUCUCCGCCUCCUGCUCUCUCGACCCCGUGCCACGUAUCGUGCCGCGGUGCCGACUAGUCCAACUGAGUCAUUCCGAAGACGCGAACAUCCCUUCCGUGAGGAUUAAUAGUAGACUCUAUGCAUCUCCAACAGCGACUCGUUCAAACUUCUGCAACACGAUAUUAUCGUUAGCAGUCGCAGCAUCCAAAUCGCGCGACACGCGAAAGAUAAACAUACUCGAACUGUGUUUCCUAGGGGCUUGACGAUCCGGGACUGCACUCGAGAGAACUUGGGGGACAUGGGACAGCGAAGAAGAUUCUCGAUAUCUUCAGUGCUGAUGCUGUCGCGCACUGAUGAUCGCUCGCGAGUCGCGAGGAAAGCCACCCCUGCGACCGGCGAAACUGUCGAUCAUCCGGUCCUCCGUCGACCAUUCGAGAUUAUCGUCGCGCGGCCGCGAGGAAAGCCUCGCGGGACAUUGGCCUCAGCGGGAGCCAAUAAAAUCCCUCUCUCUAUCGGGUAAGCGACACUCUCCCGCUCUUUCCGCUUUCGCUUACCCCCUCUCGCGCGCGCACCCUCUCCUCACUUCUUCCUCCACCCUUCCCGCGAGGAAAAUCCUCAAGAAGGCACGAGGGAGGAUGAGAUGCACCGGGAGAAUUCUAGCGAGCGAGCGGACGAGGUGACCGGAUAGAAUGAUAGAUCAUCGGGCUCGCUCCGCUCGCGUGUAAGCGAGACACGGAGAGCGAGAAACGCAUCGCAACGCAACGCGCCGCGACAGUUCCUCCGUUCCCCUCCGACCGUCACGUUCCUCCCAUCCAUCGCGGUGCAGCGCAGCGGCGGCGACGACGGCGGCGGCGGCAACGGCGGCGUCGUCGUCUGCCCGUCCGUCCGUCCAUCCAUCCGUCCGUUCAUUCGUUCGUCCGUCGCGAGUGCGGUGGUGCCCGGGCACGCAGUCCGUUGCUGUUACCGCCGAAGGUUGCUUCUCUUCCGCUCUCUCUCUAUCUCCCUCUCUCCUCCCCUUUCCCUCUCUAUCUUUCUAUCUUUCCGCGCGGUUUUCCGUUCGCCGGAGGGACGCAGAGAUUCGCGAAACGUCGGCAAAGUGUGCCGACAAUGUCGUCGUCCGCCCGCCCAAUCGAUGCGCCGAGGCGGGCGCGUGCGUUCCCCGGUGUGUUGUGCGUUGCACCGCGCGAGUCCGAUCCGAGAGUGCGACAUAUGCAUCCGCGCCGACAACCGAGAGUGCGAGGAGAGCCCCGGCGGUAUGCCAGUGGUGGUGACAGUCCUGAAUGGCCGACGACGUCGCGUGUGCGAUACGACGCAUCGGACGGACGGACGGACAGAGGGAGGGAGGGACAGACGGUAUGGCACACGGAUGCGUCUACGUUGCGUCGCAUUACGUCCCUCCUCGUUCGUACUCGCGAGCCGUGACGAGAGAAAGAGAGAGAGAGAGAGUUUUUCCUGCUGAGAGUGCGCGAGUGCCCGCCCCCGCUUGCGUUUCCACGAAGUGCGUGAGCCAGUUAGAAUGUGCGGCGCACUUUAGGAAUACGUGUGUGGUGUGCGCGUCGAUAGAUGCAUGGGAUCGCCGACGAAAUUGUGCAACUCGAGAGAGAAAAACGAAAACGCGAGUAGAUCUAAGAGGAGCGAAGAGGAAAUACAGACGGACAGAGAGAGAGAGAGAGAGAGACAGAGAGAGAGUCUUGGUGACCGUGCGCUGCAUUAUCGAUGACGCUUGCACUUCUCUCUAUCUAUCUGGUUAUCUGUCUCACUUUUUCUCUCUCUAUCUUUCUCUCUCUCUAUCUUUCUCUCUCGUCUGGCUAGCUCUACCCAACGCGAUCGAACCCACUCCUCCUCCCCUCUCCCAUCCCCUUUCCCGACUGCUCUCGCAUAUGGCUGGCGCGCGUUUUCCGCGGUCAGCCACGCCGAUGUUUCGCGAAAAUCAUUUUUCGCAUUCCGCGCGGUCGCGCCCGACUGCGGCGGCACCCUCUCUCUCCCCCUCGCCACCCCUACUGCGCCUCCUCCUCCUCCUCCUCCUCCUCCUCCUCCUCCUCCUCCUCCUCCUCCUCCUCCUCUUCUUCUCCCUCUCGCGGCGCGAUCGACGAUUGCAAUUUAAUUUGGCCGGUCGGCGAAAAUUAGAUUAGUGUCUCGCGCGCUUCUAUUCUCAGACGUCGCUCCGCGACGACGCGGCACGUGGUGCGAGGUGACAAACGGCGAACUCGUGGACCCGGACAGUGCGGGACAACGUCGCUUCGACGUCGAAGAAUCGGCGAGAUCGCGGGGUCGAGCGAGAGGAAGACGUCUUCAACGCUCGGACGCAUCUCUCUGCCCCGUGAAAUGCGCGCCUCGGACGUAUGUAUCGUGUUGCCCAUGCACGGUCGAUCGGGUUCCGGUCCCGCGAGAGGACGUCGUUGCGUCGUGUGUGUGUGUGUGUGUGUGUGUGUGUGUGUGUGUGUGUGUGUGUGUGUGUGUGUGUAUGUGUGUGUGUAUUGGAACUCGGAGAAUUUGUCCUCCCCGAAUUCGAUACGGAGGGAAAUAUUGAGUGUCGCGAGUCGUCGCCAGGAAACGGGAGAUCGUCCGAGAGACGAGGGAAAGAGGGCGAAUCUUACGCGUCCUCGUCCUCCGCUCGUUGUCCGAUGUCGAAAACGGAUGACACCGGUCCCGCUGGAUGUUCGUGCGUUUAUUCGCGUCGGGGCGGUGCUGAGGUAUCAUCGCGUUCGAACGUUUUGUUUCCCCUUUUUUUUUCUUCUUUACCUCGGACACAGCCGCGCAAUUUGGAGCUCGCGUCCGAUCCGCCGCGCCGCGGCGCCUUAUUUCCGCACCACGCUCGAUCCCAUUCAAAUUGAAUUAACGAGCGCCGGCAUACGUGCUCCCUCGUCUCGCUCUCCUCCCGUUUCGCCUUCCUCUCGCGAGCACAUCUCUACCAUCAGCUGUGUAUGGCGGCCGAAGGUUGUCCCGGUUGCGCGAAACUCGCCUCGGUGUCUCUAUUCCCGAAAGAUGUCGACUUUCGGGAAGUGCGUGCCGAAACGAUAUUUCCCAGUUUCCGGAGCCGACGACUCCGUCGCGACUUUAAUCGGUCUUUGUCUCGAGGUGGAGUGCACGGAAGGAAGGAAGGAAGAAAGGAAGGAAGCGAGCGAACGAGCGUUUUUCGCCGCGAGGAGAGAAAGAGAGAGAGAGAGAGAAAGAAAGAGAGGCAGAAAGAGAGAAAGAGAGAGACGAUAAAAUUACCCUUAACCUCGGUGAAUACAUACGUCCGGGGUCAAUGACACCCUGUUGUCUCGUUUCCCCUCUCGCGCAUGCGCACGCACGGUUUUGACAGUUUCGCGGAGCGAAAGGAGGAUUCUAGGAGCGUAGGACACGACACCGCUCCGCCGACGCGACGCGACGACGCUGCUGUUUUGCUGCGUUAAUACGGAACAAUGAUCGGUUUCCGGUGUGUGCGGCGGUCGCCGGAGAGAGUGCGCGAGAUAUUCCGUUCAGUGGGACAUUUCCCCGAGGGGGAAAGAGGAGCAGGAACGACGGAGCUCGAAACAAAAUGAAACUGCUGCUGCUGCUGCUGCUGCUGCCGCUGCGAUGGAUUUAGCAUGGUAGCAUCGUCAUCCCUUCGCGUCGUAUACGUGGACCUCCGGAUCCAAGGUUCGCCGCAGACUGUUUCGGACGGACAUUCGCUCUGGACCAGGAUCUUGCCUCAGGAUUCCUCUCUGGACUUCGUCUGCGCGGACGGACCCAGGGGAAGACGAUAGUUCUCGGCUAUACUUGAUGACACUAACCCGUAGAUCCGAACUUGUGGGCUUUUUUAUAUGCAUACCGCAAGCUCCUAUCUACCGGUACAUGUAGUCAGGCCGGCGUGAAAACUCUUUUCGACGGAUCCCCGCCCCCCCCCCUCCUCCCCUUCCGUCACCAUCAUUGUGUCAAUCAUCCAACAUCAUCCGCCAUCAAACCUCCGUUCCCCCGAAUGCCCGUGGCGCUUCCGGUUUAUCAGCGACAGACUUCUUGCCGAGUAAUUUCCUCGCACGUGAAAAAGGGCAUCACGUACCGCAUCUGUACCAACCGUUAAAAAGCGUGAUCGACAUGCGCCGACUUUAAGUUAAGGAAUACGUCGUCCGAUUAAACUCCAGGGAGUUACCGCACGUUGCUUGCGUUUGUGCGUCGACAGAAACGCGCUCCUUACAUGUGUGAUAUAUUGUAAAGCGACAUCGCGUCUCAGAUGUUCUUAUUGCAACACAAGCGCAUCUCUCCGGAGAAAUACGGAGAGUGGAGGUUCUUUUCGUGCGGCGGGCCAUUUUUUGUAAAACCAAGAGAAAGAGAUUGUAAGACAUUGUAAAGUUAGUCAGGACCGAGUAGGUAUUAAUAGGCGAGCGGAAUGAUUAUGAGAGCAACAGAGCAUUGUGAAGUAACAGCGUGAGAAGGAAUUUAAUUUUUUCCGUCGCACACAAGAUUGUCUGUUAGUUUGUAAUUGCGAUCGAAUGCAUCCGCCGAUAUGACAUUGUAACGGCGUGUAUUUAUUCAACUGUUUAUAGAUUAUCGAUUAUAGAUAUGUUAGUCGCGAAAUUCGGGCGCACCGAGCCGAGCGAGCGCGCGAAGGAGAUGAGGCGAGGCGACCUGUGUCGAAAAGUCGGUCGGGUUAUAAGGGCGUGGAGAAGAAACGGCGGAUGGAGCGACGGACGAGGGAAGAGAAGCCCCCGCGACGAUGUCUGGGUGAGGUAGUAGGUUGUAUAGUAGGGAAUGGAAAUUCGCGAGAUACGAAGUCCACUGUACAACUUGCUAACUUUCCCGGUCGUCGGCGCUACGACGUUGCUGGCGUCGAUGCUGCGACAGAACCGCUCCCGAGGAACCUACUCUCGCGAGACCCGCGUCGCGAGCGGGCGAGGAAGCUCUACGCGGAUUAAAAAAAAAAAACUUGUUUUUUUCUUUCUUUUUAACGCGAAUGUAUAAAUCGAAGCGCCUUGCGCCUUACGACGAAUGUGUACGCGUGACAUUUUCUCUUGGUGUAAAUGCGUGAGUGUGCAUGUGUGUACAUGCGUGCGUGCGUGUGUGUGGUGUGUGUACAUGUACGUAUGCGUGCGCGAGUGGGUGUAUGAAGACAAGGUAGCGUAUAAUUCCGGCGAGGUAACCGUACACUUUCGUACGAAGCGUGAAAGCGAUUUUUCUUUCGAUCGGUAUUCAUAAUUAAUUCUUACUUCAGGACCAUUUUAACUAACGUCUUAAUGUGCUACGGUUUUAUGAUUAAUUCAUAACGGUACUUAAGACGGUCCUAAGUGUAAGAGCCAACUAUGAAUACCGGGGUACUAGAGAAGCCCUUUCUCGAGAAGUCUCGGGAUACACGUUCAUUUGCGUACACUCUCUUUGAAACGUUAUAAUUGCGUAACGAGCGCAAGAAAUAUGUUUCUGUCCCUUCAUUGGCACUUCCGUUUCUCGUUUCUCCAAGCGCAAAUCUCGCGGAUCCAGCUGGGCUUCCGUUCGAGAGCCAGACUAGAAUUUCCUUGGCAAAUUGCGCGACUCGCUUGAAACUCGCGACGAAACAGUUUUCCAACCCCUCCACUUUGUUGCCGUGCUUUCUUCGAGAGAAUUCGAGAUAAUAAUUCGCGACGCACUGUCCGGGACAGCCGUGAAUUUGCAUAAGAUCCUCUUGCAAAAGAGAAAGGGCGGAACGAUCGCGGAGCGCGAGGGUGAGAUGAAGAUGGCAUGAGUGGUGAGAAUGAGUGUGUGUGUAUGUGUGUAUGCGUGCGUGUAUGUGUGUGAGAGAGAAAGAGAGAAAAAAAGGGCAAUGGCGGGCGGGCUGAUUGUAAAGCCUGCCGCGUCGCCGGUUCCCUGAGACCCUAACUUGUGACGUCGCGUCCGAUAUCUCACAGGCUAGAUUCUCUGGUAUUGGCGAUGAGUGCUGCCUUUUGCCGAUCAAAAGUCAGUCCUAGCAACAGAGAUACAAACGUCGUCGCGUUUCGACAACUUGCAUCGCGCCGCAUUCAUGUAUAUUCUGAAUAUAUUUUUCUUUUCUUUUCUUCGUUAUGUAUCUCCGUAUUUUGCUGUGUGAUUGAGAGAACCAACGUUUACUUGACCUUAACGCGUCGUUUAAAGGAAAUUUAUAUUACGAUUUCUCUUUCUCUAUCGAAUCUAGUUUAGAUUCACUUAUUCCUCGUAAAGAAUACGAGAAAAAAAUAAAAUUAUUAUUAUAAUAAGACAUUUCUUGUCACUGAAUACUAUAAAAA